RNAcentral lists this ribosomal RNA (253 nucleotides) under uncultured bacterium. RNAcentral's name for it is "partial 16S ribosomal RNA". It matches the Rfam family "Bacterial small subunit ribosomal RNA", at positions 524 to 776 of the family's 1533-position model. The record is from RNAcentral.
UACGGAGGGUGCGAGCGUUGUCCGGAAUCACUGGGCGUAAAGGGCGCGUAGGUGGCGCGACAAGUCAACGGUGAAAGCCCGGGGCUCAACCCCGGGUCGGCCGUCGAUACUGUUGGGCUUGAGCACUGUAGAGGCAGGUGGAAUUCCGGGUGUAGUGGUGAAAUUCGUAGAUAUUGGGAAGAACACCGAUGGCGAAGGCAGCCAUCUGGACCGACACUGACGCUGAGGCGCGAAAGCGUGGGGAGCAAACAGG